GGUAUUUUGACCGUGCAAAGGUAGCAUAAUAAUUAGUUUUUUAAUUGGAAGCUGGAAUGAAUGGUUGGACGAGAAAAUGACUGUCUCUAUGUUAUUUUUAGUUGAAUUUAAUUUUUUAGUUAAAAAGCUAAAAUGUUUUUAAAAGACGAGAAGACCCUUUAGAGUUUAAUUAAUGUUGGAUAUAAAUGAGUUGGUAUUUUUUAAGUAUGUUAAAUGUUAAUUUGGUUGGGGUGAUUGUAAGAUUUAAUAAACUCUUGUAAUAAAAUCAAUGAUUUUUGAACAUGUUAUCUAGAUUUUCUAAAUUUAAAAUAAAUUACCUAAGG
This 323-nucleotide ribosomal RNA is filed under the name Balgus rugosus. Its description in RNAcentral is "partial 16S ribosomal RNA". The record is from RNAcentral. Lineage: Eukaryota; Metazoa; Arthropoda; Insecta; Coleoptera; Elateridae.